GCUGGGCAUGGUGGCUCAUGCCUAUAAUCCCAGCACAUUGGGAGGCGGAGGCAGGAGGAUUACUUGAGCCCAGGAGUUCCAGGGUGCAGUGAACCAUGAUCAUGCCACUGCACUCUAGCCUGGGCGAUAGAGCGAGACCCUGUCUCAA
Molecule: signal recognition particle RNA, 148 nt
Filed under: Pongo abelii (Sumatran orangutan)
Lineage: Eukaryota; Metazoa; Chordata; Mammalia; Primates; Hominidae
Description: Metazoan signal recognition particle RNA (ENSPPYG00000031825.1)
Rfam family: Metazoan signal recognition particle RNA
About the family: The signal recognition particle (SRP) is a universally conserved ribonucleoprotein. It is involved in the co-translational targeting of proteins to membranes.
Source: Rfam by way of RNAcentral